UGCACUGUAUAGUAUCUGCAUGCAGCAUUUCAUUCCUGCUGAAGUGUUCAAAGGACAGUGCAACAGAAAAUCAGUAUUUGGCAUCGUUGGUUUUCUUGGCUUUGUGCAUUAGAAACCUGGUAAUACUUUUGACACAUUA
Molecule: small nucleolar RNA, 139 nt
Organism: Ochotona princeps (American pika)
Lineage: Eukaryota; Metazoa; Chordata; Mammalia; Lagomorpha; Ochotonidae
Source: Ensembl